RNAcentral lists this transfer RNA (65 nucleotides) under Strongylium suspicax. RNAcentral's name for it is "tRNA-Asn". Lineage: Eukaryota; Metazoa; Arthropoda; Insecta; Coleoptera; Tenebrionidae. The record is from RNAcentral.
UUAAUUGAAACCAAAAAGAGGUAUAUCACUGUUAAUGAUAAAAAUGAACUAAAGUUCCAAUUAAA